GCUGCCUAAAAGUUUCCAGAUAUAUUACUCAAUUUUCAGAUUAAAAGUCGGGUGUUAACUCAGAAGUUGGUUCUCAGCUUUCCCUAUGCACAAAAACAAAACAAAAUAGAUACAAAAAAAUGAAAAACAACAGCAAAAAAUUCACUGUUCCAUUGAUUUUGGAUAGGUUAUAGAUUUUUCUUUGAGAUUCUGCCUUACAUCUUGUUCUGAGGUUUAUUUCGAGUUGAUCUGGGUUUAGUCCUGCUGGUUUAUGUUGUUUUUGUUGGUGGGUUUUCAAGCUCCUGAGUGGUUUCAAGCCAUUUGGGACUUAUUUGAUCGAUUCUAAUCAUUUCUAGGGUAUUUUGAUUCAUUGCUAAGUUACUAGGUCAUUUCUGCUGCUGAAAGAUAUUCGUUAAUGCUGUUAAUCCUUCUUCUCUUUUUUGUUCUUCAAUCUCCAGGUACGUUUUGAAUCUCAACUGUAAUUUCGAGCUUUAAAAAUGAAAUAAACUGUUGUUUGUUUGGAUCCCGAAGAAUGAUUGUUGAACUAUUCGUACUGGCAGUUAGACAGAUAUCAAAAAUGUAAAUUCUUAUCUUAGAUAAAUAUCAAUUUGUAUAUGUUGCAUUUUGGACAGUUUUUGUAGCCCAUGAAAUGUUGGGGCUGUAAUUUAGCAUAACAUUUUGUUAACUUGUAAAAAUGGAUUGUUGGACGUUAUUAGGACUGGUAGGGUUUCGUCUAGGGUGGUUUAGUUAGUUAUUAAUGGGC
RNAcentral lists this long non-coding RNA (742 nucleotides) under Nicotiana benthamiana. RNAcentral describes it as "long non-coding RNA (NBEN_LNC022323)". Lineage: Eukaryota; Viridiplantae; Streptophyta; Magnoliopsida; Solanales; Solanaceae. The record is from RNAcentral.